ACCGCAUGUGAUCGUGAGAUCAAAGCUGGGGUCGCAAGACCUGGCGCUUCAAGAUGAGCCCGCGGCCUAUCAGCUAGUUGGUGAGGUAAUGGCUCACCAAGGCUAAGACGGGUAGCUGGUCUGAGAGGACGACCAGCCACACUGGAACUGAGACACGGUCCAGACACCUACGGGUGGCAGCAGUCGAGAAUUUUUCUCAAUGGGCGAAAGCCUGAAGGAGCGACGCCGCGUGGGGGAUGAAUGGCUUCGGCCCGUAAACCCCUGUCAUUUGCGAACAAAUUGUUUUACCUAAUACGUAAAGCAUUGAUUGUAGCGGAAGAGGAAGGGACGGCUAACUCUGUGCCAGCAGCCGCGGUAAUACAGAGGUCCCAAGCGUUGUUCGGAUUCACUGGGCGUAAAGGGUGCGUAGGCGGUGAGGUAAGUCUGACGUGAAAUCUCCGAGCCUAACUCGGAAACUGCGUUGGAUACUAUCUCGCUCGAGGAAUGGAGGGGAGACUGGAAUACUUGGUGUAGCAGUGAAAUGCGUAGAUAUCAAGUGGAACACCAGUGGCGAAGGCGAGUCUCUGGACAUUUCCUGACGCUGAGGCACGAAAGCCAGGGGAGCAAACGGGAUUAGAUACCCCGGUAGUCCUGGCCCUAAACGGUGCGCGUUUGCUGUGAGUGGAAUCGACCCCGCUCGUGGCGAAGUUAACAC
This 694-nucleotide ribosomal RNA is filed under the name uncultured Verrucomicrobiota bacterium. RNAcentral's name for it is "bacterial SSU rRNA". It matches the Rfam family "Bacterial small subunit ribosomal RNA", at positions 168 to 858 of the family's 1533-position model. Lineage: Bacteria; Pseudomonadati; Verrucomicrobiota. The record is from RNAcentral.